Pelobates cultripes (western spadefoot toad) is the source of this 273-nucleotide non-coding RNA. The record is from the annotation of a GenBank genome assembly. NCBI's taxonomy places the organism in Eukaryota, Metazoa, Chordata, Amphibia, Anura, Pelobatidae.
GUCAGUGUGUGUGUGUGUCAGUUUGUCUGUGUGUAUGUCUGUGUGUGUGUCAGUAGGCCUGUGUGUGUGUCAGUAUGUCUGCCAGGAUAUAUUUGUGUGUCAGUGUAUGUGUGUGUCAGUAUGUAUCUGUGAAUGUUUUAAUGUCUGUCUGUGUGUAUGUGCCAGUACGUCUGUCUGUGUGUAUGUCAGUAUGUCUGUGUGUGUCAGUAUGUCUGUGUGUGUAUGUAAGUAUGUCUGUGUGUGUGUAUGUGUGUGUCAGUAGGCCUGUGUGUG